UUACGUGCCAGCAGCCGCGGUAAUACGUAGGGCGCGAGCGUUGUCCGGAUUUAUUGGGCGUAAAGAGCUCGUAGGUGGUUCGUCGCGUCUGUCGUGAAAGCCAGCAGCUUAACUGUUGGUCUGCGGUGGGUACGGGCGGGCUUGAGUGCGGUAGGGGUGACUGGAAUUCCUGGUGUAGCGGUGGAAUGCGCAGAUAUCAGGAGGAACACCGAUGGCGAAGGCAGGUCACUGGGCCGUUACUGACACUGAGGAGCGAAAGCGUGGGGAGCGAACAGGAUUAGAUACCCUGGUAGUCCACGCUGUAAACGUUGGGAACUAGGUGUGNGGAUGCUAUCCU
This 337-nucleotide ribosomal RNA is filed under the name Mobiluncus curtisii. RNAcentral describes it as "bacterial SSU rRNA". It matches the Rfam family "Bacterial small subunit ribosomal RNA", at positions 501 to 837 of the family's 1533-position model. Lineage: Bacteria; Bacillati; Actinomycetota; Actinomycetes; Actinomycetales; Actinomycetaceae. The record is from RNAcentral.